CUUAAACCUGCCACAGCCAUGUUGUGAUUAUGAAGGGAGCCAACCUGAGGACAAAUCACAUUUUCUGAGGAUGGCAGAGCAAACAGAUGCAAAGAUCCUGGGUCUCUGAUGGCAUUGUUGAGUUGCUGGACAGCUUCCCUACUUUUCACGUUCCUAUGACACAAUGUUAUCAUCAUCCUUGUUGUAUCAGCCAGGGAAGCUAAAGAAUGAUGCGCUCCACCACAAUGAGGGACUAAACAACAAAAAGGAGGCAUGAGAUUCAGGAAGCAAAAAAGGAAUUCAUCAUAUGAAGGAAUGAAGAUGUUCAAAAGAAAACCUUCAACCUCAUGCCAGAAGAUGUUCCCAGCUGUAUAAAUGCCUAACUCAGCUUCUAGUCCUUGGAAAUUAAGCAGCUCAUUGAAAAUUCAAGAGUUCCAGCCAGAAGCUACAGCUAGGCUCAGAUGUUGAAAUCAGUCUCUCCUGCUGAUUAAACUGUG
RNAcentral lists this long non-coding RNA (476 nucleotides) under Pan troglodytes (chimpanzee). RNAcentral describes it as "long non-coding RNA NONPTRT006343". Lineage: Eukaryota; Metazoa; Chordata; Mammalia; Primates; Hominidae. The record is from RNAcentral.